Molecule: long non-coding RNA, 651 nt
Filed under: Monodelphis domestica (gray short-tailed opossum)
Lineage: Eukaryota; Metazoa; Chordata; Mammalia; Didelphimorphia; Didelphidae
Description: lncRNA (ENSMODG00000038908.1)
Source: RNAcentral
GCACACUUCCCAGCCUCCUCAUCAUCUUCUCCACUGUCUUCACCAUUGGUGCCUCCAUCAAGUCCUCUGUACCCCAUUCUCCCAACAGGGGCCCCUCCCACAACUAGACCCCUUAUCAUUAUACUCAGGAUUUAAGUCAGGCUGAAGGAAAAAUAGCCAUGACCUCCCAACUGCCCUUAUGUAAGGCAGGGCCUGAAUGGGUGAGGAUUUACAGCCACUCCUGGUCUAUGCCCCUUUUUUCUUCCAUAGACCUUUAUAAUUGGAAAUAUUAGAAUCCCUUGUUGUUUUUGUGUGUCUAGCUGUAAGAUUAUAUGGAAGGUGCGAAAAGAGUUUAAGAUGCAGUUUCACAAAGAGGAAUUUCUUCAUAGUGGCAGUUGGCCAUUCCCUCCACCUACAUUCCAAACCUUCCAAACUCCAGUAUGGAAGACUACAUGGGGGAAGCUGUGCCUGCGCCAUCAGCAAGCUUCCAAGCAAUACCUGUUCAAUUAUUUUUUCCUCUUUCUUCCUUGGAUGGGCCCCCAAGGGAGAAAAAAGGAGAAAAAAAAAUCCAGAGCAGAAAAGGGAAAUUUUACUCCAGAAUUUGAGUUGUCCAAGUCCAGUAAAAAGAAAAAAGUCAGAAUAAAUGGUGAUGGCCUUGCAUGCAGAGGAUAA